RNAcentral lists this ribosomal RNA (655 nucleotides) under Scytodes sp. 35 YFL-2022a. RNAcentral's name for it is "SSU rRNA". It matches the Rfam family "Eukaryotic small subunit ribosomal RNA", at positions 1011 to 1689 of the family's 1831-position model. Lineage: Eukaryota; Metazoa; Arthropoda; Arachnida; Araneae; Scytodidae. The record is from RNAcentral.
GAUACCGCCCUAGUUCUAACCAUAAACGAUGCCAACCAGCGAUCCGCCUGGGUUCCUCAAAUGACUCGGCGGGCAGCUUCCGGGAAACCAAAGUCUUUGGGUUCCGGGGGGAGUAUGGUUGCAAAGCUGAAACUUGAAGGAAUUGACGGAAGGGCACCACCAGGCGUGGAUCGUGCGGCUUAAUUUGACUCAACACGCGUAAACUCACCCGACCCGAACACUGGAAGGAUUGACAGAUUAAGAGCUCUUUCUUGAUUCAGUGGGUGGUGGUGCAUGGCCGCUUUUAGUUGGUGGAGCGAUUUGUCUGCUUAAUUGCGAUAACGAACGAGACUCUAGCCUACUAAAUAGGCGCUCCGAUCCCUUGCGUCGGACGCUCUUCUUAGAGGGACAAGCGGCGUUUAGCCGCACGAAACAGAGCAACAGCAGGUCUGUGAUGCCCUUAGAUGCUCGGGGCCGCACGCGCGCUACACUGAAGGAAUCAGCGUGUGCUCUCCCUGUCCGGCAGGACUGGGUAACCCGUUGAACCUCCUUCGUGAUAGGGAUAGGGGCUUGUAAUUGUUCCCCUUGAACGAGGAAUGCCCAGUAAGCACGAGUCAUCAGCUCGUGUUGAUUAUGUCCCUGCCCUUUGUACACACCGCCCGUCGCUACCUCCGAU